Molecule: ribosomal RNA, 464 nt
Filed under: uncultured bacterium
Lineage: Bacteria
Description: partial 16S ribosomal RNA
Rfam family: Bacterial small subunit ribosomal RNA
Source: RNAcentral
CCUACGGGAGGCAGCAGUAGGGAAUUUUCGGCAAUGGGGGGAACCCUGACCGAGCAACGCCGCGUGAAGGAAGAAGGCAUUCGUUCUGUAAACUUCUGUUAUAAAGGAAGAAAGACGGAUGGAGUAAAUGACAUCCGAUUGACGUUACUUUCUGAGAAAGCCCCGGCUCACUACGUGCCAGCAGCCGCGGUAAUACGUAGGUGGCAAGCGUUAUCCGGAAUUAUUGGGCGUAAAGAGGGAGCAGGCGGCAGCAAAGGUCUGUGGUGAAAGACUGAAGCUUAACUUCAGAAAGCAAUAGAAACAGGGAAGCUAGAGUGCAGGAGAGGAUCGUGGAAGUCCAGGGGUAGCGGUGAAAUGCGUAGAUAUAUGGAGGAACACCAGUGGCGAAGGCGACGAUCUGGACUGCAACUGACGCUCAGUCGCGAAAGCGUGGGGAGCAAAUAGGAUUAGAUACCCGGGUAGUC